This 253-nucleotide ribosomal RNA is filed under the name uncultured bacterium. Its description in RNAcentral is "partial 16S ribosomal RNA". It matches the Rfam family "Bacterial small subunit ribosomal RNA", at positions 524 to 776 of the family's 1533-position model. The record is from RNAcentral.
UACAGAGGUCUCGAGCGUUGUUCGGAUUUAUUGGGCGUAAAGGGUGCGUAGGCGGCGUGGCAAGUCAAGUGUGAAAUCUCGGAGCUUAACUCUGAAACUGCACUUGUUACUGCCGUGCUAGAGGGUUGUAGAGGAGAUCGGAAUUCACGGUGUAGCAGUGAAAUGCGUAGAUAUCGUGAGGAAGACCAGUUGCGAAAGCGGGUCUCUGGGCAAUUCCUGACGCUGAGGCACGAAGGCUAGGGGAGCAAACGGG